This is a non-coding RNA of Chlorocebus sabaeus (green monkey), 745 nucleotides long. The record is from RefSeq and is a predicted model, not a curated record. Lineage: Eukaryota; Metazoa; Chordata; Mammalia; Primates; Cercopithecidae.
ACAACAGCACUGUGAGACAGGGUCAUCAUCCCCACUUUACAGGUGUGAUCCUCACAACAGCACUGUGAGACAGGGUCAUCAUCCCCACUUUACAGGUGUGGAAACAGAGGCUCAAGGAAGAGCAUUUGCCCACAGUGGCACAGCGAGUCAUAGGGGAGCAUCAGUUUGAAAGUCCAGGCCUUCUCACUCCAGGGCCCUUCUAGCUACCUAAGCUGAGGGUUUGGCAGUAAAUGAGGAUCCCAGCUCCAAGAUGGUUGGUUUGGAGCCCAAACAUUAGAUCCCCUUGAGCACAUAGUGCAGAACCCUGAGUCUAGGAACCCUGGCUCUACAGCAUGACUUGCUGAUCUUGUGCAAGUCUUUUAACCUCUCCACACCAGGGCCGUGCUGGUCCAGCAGGAUUCCCUAUCAGGGAGAGGGGACUUGGUAAAACCAUCUGGAGAGCAUGUUUGCGAACCCCAGUGGGCCGGCCUCUGCUCAGAGAGCCUGAUGUUGCUCCCUUGCAAGGAAGAGGUGCAGGGCAUUGCAAUCUGCUAGCACACCUCUCACACCUGGUGAGAAUCAGUUCUGCUCUCCAAGGUUCUGACCUCUGAGAGUGACGUAAGUCCAGAGAGCCACACCACUACUCCUUGAGAGACCUUCAGCAAAAUGCCCGUGCGCUCAAAGAAAUUGGGGUCAGGAUGCUUUAAAAGCAAAAAAGGCUUAAAAGUAAUUUGGGAGGGGAAGAUGACUUGAAAAGGAAAAGAAA